CUUGUACACACCGCCCGUCGCUAGUACCGAUUGAAUGGCUUAGUGAGGCUUCCGGAUUGGUUUAGAGAAGGGGGCAACUCCAUCUCGGAACUGAAAAGCUAGUCAAACUUGGUCAUUUAGAGGAACUAAAAGUCGUAACAAGGUUUCCGUAGGUGAACCUGCGGAAGGAUCAUUA
This 175-nucleotide ribosomal RNA is filed under the name [Candida] boidinii. RNAcentral's name for it is "partial 18S ribosomal RNA". It matches the Rfam family "Eukaryotic small subunit ribosomal RNA", at positions 1659 to 1831 of the family's 1831-position model. Lineage: Eukaryota; Fungi; Ascomycota; Pichiomycetes; Pichiales; Pichiaceae. The record is from RNAcentral.